This 4615-nucleotide long non-coding RNA is filed under the name Malus domestica (apple). Its description in RNAcentral is "long non-coding RNA (MDOM_LNC017014)". The record is from RNAcentral. Lineage: Eukaryota; Viridiplantae; Streptophyta; Magnoliopsida; Rosales; Rosaceae.
AACCAUACUCAUACAAUAGCCUCGGGUAAAUCUCUCUCAUCCGAUUCUCUUUCUCCCACGUAGCUUCUUCCGUUGAAUGGUUCCUCCACAAUACUUUUACCACUUACUCUGUCUAAAUUCUCAGGACCUUCUUUUUCCAAUCCAAAGUCGUCCUUGGUUCCUUAUCAAGUCGAAUCCAAUUUAAUUCUCAAUAGUUGCACCAGAAUCUCAUGUGACGAAUCUGCCACCUAGUGACAACGUAUCGAACCCAAAAUACAUUAAGUACCUUAGCCAACUCUGAAGACAUCACCACUUGUAUGCGACUUAUUGAUUCCUUUAGUGAUCAAAAAUGGUCUGAUGUGUCUAAAUCUUAUCUUGUCUCCUUUCCAAUUCUCGCCAUUUCUGUUCGUGGUGAAUUUUCCAAAAUAUCGAAUCAUGAAACACAUCAUGCACUUAUAACAAAUCUGGAAGCCAUUCAAUUCUAUAAUCAACUUCACCAACCUUUCGAUGAUCACGCUAAGUCCGAUUCAUUUAGGAUUUAACUUGCCUUCCUUUCCAACCUGAGUUAUACUUUUCUAGGGUGAACACUUCGAAAAUAUAAAACCAUUUACCUUAUAUACUCGAUUAGUGGCAUAUCAAUAUGUUGAUCUCUUUUGCCAUUCCUGGUUACUUCAGGUUAACUUAAUCACCUGAAUACUUUGAGGAGACUCAUCCAUAGUCUCAGGGCCUACUAAAACUCUUUCUUGAUCGAAUCUUUCUCUAUUCAGAAGCAUUUCAUUCACACGACGCUUCAGGGACCCUAUGGCGUUAUUUCGGAAACUGCGCACCCAACAUACUUAAGAAACUUAGCAGUUCCGUAAACCAAUUCUUCUUUCUAUAAAACAAAUAAGUACCGUUACUCAACCCUGGAGUAAAUGUACUAACUUGGUACAUUGACCAACUAUCGCUUCAAAUUCAAUCAUAACCAUCCUAUGUAUCAUGAAACUUGUACACAUAAUCCAAAGUAAUAUUUUUCCAUUUCCACUGCGAAACAGAAAAUAACCGUCUCAAUCCAAAGGUUUACUUCUUUCUACUUCAAUCUAUUGACCAAUAAAAACGUCAAAUGGUAUACUAGAUCUCAUUACUUUUGGAAUAUUGCAGAAGUUGUACAGUGUACUUCGUCCAAAAUUGCUUGCUUUAAAUCCUCAGCAUUCGGUACAUACUUCUUACUUUCUUGUAUCCACAUACCAUUUGAUUCACGAAUCAUGUACUCAUUCUUUUUCCUUUCUUUCCUUGCCUUGGUUAAUUCUUAAAUUCCUCGUCAAACAUUUAAGUUUCGAGUACGACCUUACCAAACAGGCCUAACUUGAAAUUUAACAAGUAUAACUUCUUCUCGAUCUUCCAUUCUUAAUUUUUCUUCCGUUGGUUUUCAAUCCACAAGAUGAUACUCUUGGCAAACGUGCCAGACAUUAAUCAUACUGUAGUCUUCUCACCAAGUGCUUCAGCUACAACAAUUCACGAUCACCCUGAUCGUACCAUCAUAAUCACUAAGUAAUUGAAUCCACCUUUGUUGCCUCAUAUCAAAAUCCUUCCGAAUAAACAAAUAUUGGAGACUCUUUUGAUUUGUAAAUCUUGCAUUCUUAUCAACAUAUAAUGUCUCCACAACUUCACAGCAAGGAUGAUAAUCGUGACUUCCAAGUCACCAGUAGGGUAAUUCAUCUCAUUAGGUUCCAUUUGUCGUGAAACAUAUUCAAUCACCCUAACAUUUGCAUCAAUACAUCUCCAAGAAUAUUUAAUGUACCAUCACCAUAAACCAAUAAUUACCGCUAUCUUCUGGGAUUACUAAAAUACGUGCAUGAGUGAGGAAAUACUCCAGUUGUUGAAUCCUUUGCUCACAAUUUCCUUCCCACUCAUACAUAACCUCUUUUCUCCACAGUCUCGUUAAUGACAAAGCAAGGACUGAAAAAUCUUUCACAACCAUCCAAGAUAGCCUGGUAAGCUAAGAAAUUCCGAAUCUCAAUUAUGGCUCGUGGUUCCAAAUUCUCAAUUUCUGCUAUCUUUUAAGGAUUCACUUGAAUACCUUAAGAAUAUAUAACAAAUCUCAGAAUGCCACCUGAUUCAUCUAACUUUAGCAUUUGCUACUUAGCAUACAACCAACGUUCUCUCAAUCUUUGCUUCACCGACUUAAUACAUUUACAUGCUCUGCUCUGGUUCAGAAUAUGCCAGAAUAUCUUCAAUGAAAAUGAUAUCAAUUUAUCAAGGCAUUAUUGGAAUACUUCAUCCAUCAACUCAUAAAACAGCAUGAGUAUCCACAUAGCAUCACCAAACUUCAUAAGGACCAUAACAAGUCCAGAAAACCAUCUUAUGAUCAACGUCACUUAAUAUUCAAUUGGUAGUAACCAGAUCUCAAUUCAAUCUUUGAAUCUUCGCAAUUACUUCUGAGCUGGUUAAAUAAACAUCAGUACAUCACCAUGGAUAACGGUUCCCAAUCGUUACCCGAUUCCAUUGUCUAUAAUCAAAGGAUAGUCUUAAAAUCCAUUUUCUUCCUCACCAACAAACUGGUGCUCCUCAAAAGUGUUGUACUAGGUUGAAUGAAAAUUUUAUCAACCAAUUCUUUCAACUGAAUUUCCAAUUCCCUUAACUCAUCAUGAACCAAUCUUUAACAUAAAUUUAUACCUGGCAACAAAUCAAUAGUGAACCUCAUAUCUCUGCCUGAAGGCAAUCCAGGUAUACUUUCAAGGAAGACAUCAAGAAAAGUCUAACCCUUUCGACAUUAUUCACACUACUCCAAACAACAUUAUUUAGCACCACAUGAGCUAAGUAUUUUUGACAGCCUUUCGAAAACAAUCUCUUUGCUCUUACAGUAUAAAUAACGGCCUGACUCAAUCCACUUUGCAUACUUACAAAAGUAAUCUUUGGUCAUCCAGAUCGAUGGAAAGUAACUGGUUUCCCGUAACAUUCCAUCUAGUCACAACUAUAAACAACCAAUCUAAUGGAAUAAAAUUAACUGAUACAAUAUAAAUUCUAUUAUUAUUAAGCAUUCUAAAUAAGUACAAUACUAACAUAAAAUAAUCUACCGGGUUGCUUGCUUAACGAAUCCACGAAUGAGUUAUUAAUAUUACGGUCUGCAGCCCGCAAUACUGAUAAAUCAUCGUUGUCUCGAUAAGUAGGCAACCACUCUCAAAGAUAUAACAUUACUAUUUUGUCACUCAAUGCAAAAUACAUACACUCGUCUCAACUACAUUUAUUUACUACUCUUUAGGUAAGAACAUACAUAAUAAGAAAUAUAUCAGCCGAAGUCAACUAGAAUGACCAAUACGGCUGAUUCAACUCUUAUCUCAAUAAUACGUCGGCCGGAUCCACUCCGCGUGGUCGGUACGGCCGAACCUAUAACUCACCAAUUUCUCAUGGUCUGUACGGCUGAACAUAUAACUCAUCAAAUCUCUCUGUACUCACGGUCAAUCCGACCAAACUACCAAGUCCAUAACUCUGCUGAAUCGACACUAUGAUAUCAUGGAAAAUUGUUGAGUACAACUGAUUCUAGGGACAAUUCACAAUUCUGCGUCCCCUCUGUUCACAUAAACACAUUUAUUAAUUUCACACUUCCCAAAGUGUUAAUUUUGUACCUGCUGCACAAGGUACAUUUCCUUUACUCGAGACACCUUGUCUCAAAUAUCUGGAUGGAACGAGGCAAGUCUAAAAACUUUCUAUAAUAUUCAUUUAUCGUCAACUUCCUUGAUUCACACUUGCAAACUCUUGCUUACUACCAUCGAUAAAUGCCGGAGGGAUAAACUUUUCCUUAAACAAGUCCUUAAAUAAUUCUCAAUCAGCUGUUUCCUCCGGUGACAACAAUUAACAAUCCUGUUUCCACCAGGAUACAAAUUCAUACCCAAAACCAGGUAGUCGUCUCGACCCCUUGUCAGAAGGAAGAUUCCUUUGACUUGCAUAAUCCAAAACUUCUUUUCCAAACGGUUAAACCGUUACUUCGCUCCCUCAGGUUCAUCAUUUCAUAAGGUGAUUCAAAUUCGACUCAUAAUCCGUCUUAAAAUGUCCCUUUUUAUAAUAGAUUGAAUCACCAUAAUAAUAGUUUUCCCUAAACCGCUAUAUUAGGGAGAUUAAAUUCCUCUAACUAAGUGGCUUGCUACGAGGCGGUGUAGUUCUGACAGAAUUCACUAGAAACUUCUCAAGAUGUCCAAGAUUGCAACCAUGCUCUGAUACCAACUGACACACCCCGUCCCGAAGGAGGGCAUGCUGGCCGUCACGUGAGAGUGACGUAACCAUUUGCACAGUACGGAAGCUUUAAGAUACAAUUUAUAAGUUGAUACACCCGAAGGUGAGUCCUAAUUUUGUCCAAUCUGUCAGAACACCGUCAAAUUCCUCGUAGCCACCACACCUCAGCUAUUCUUUAACCUGGAGGGGCGCAAAACCAAAAUUGAGUGGGUCAGUAAAACAAUUCUUUUCAAAUCCAAUUUUUUCUCAAAGCAUUGUAACCCCUCUCCGUAAAACCUGUAUACUUUCCCAGAAAUGUAAAAUAUAAAUAUACAUAUAUAUUCUCAAAACUUCAUUUUUACUAUCUCAACAUUUUUCUUUAUCAAUCAUGUCAUGCCAUGUCUAAUUCAACAGUUAAGUAUGGAUGCAUCAACAAUAAUCAUAUCAG